AUUGAACGCUGGCGGCAGGCCUAACACAUGCAAGUCGAGCGGAUGAAGGGAGCUUGCUCCUGGAUUCAGCGGCGGAGGGGUGAGUAAUGCCUAGGAAUCUGCCUGGUAGUGGGGGAUAACGUCCGGAAACGGGCGCUAAUACCGCAUACGUCCUGAGGGAGAAAGUGGGGGAUCUUCGGACCUCACGCUAUUAGAUGAGCCUAGGUCGGAUUAGCUAGUUGGUGGGGUAAAGGCCUACCAAGGCGACGAUCCGUAACUGGUCUGAGAGGAUGAUCAGUCACACUGGAACUGAGACACGGUCCAGACUCCUACGGGAGGCAGCAGUGGGGAAUAUUGGACAAUGGGCGAAAGCCUGAUCCAGCCAUGCCGCGUGUGUGAAGAAGGUCUUCGGAUUGUAAAGCACUUUAAGUUGGGAGGAAGGGCAGUAAGUUAAUACCUUGCUGUUUUGACGUUACCAACAGAAUAAGCACCGGCUAACUUCGUG
Molecule: ribosomal RNA, 484 nt
Filed under: uncultured bacterium
Lineage: Bacteria
Description: partial 16S ribosomal RNA
Rfam family: Bacterial small subunit ribosomal RNA
Source: RNAcentral